RNAcentral lists this ribosomal RNA (497 nucleotides) under uncultured bacterium. Its description in RNAcentral is "partial 16S ribosomal RNA". It matches the Rfam family "Bacterial small subunit ribosomal RNA", at positions 28 to 507 of the family's 1533-position model. The record is from RNAcentral.
GAUGAACGCUGGCGGCGUGCUUAAUACAUGCAAGUCGAGCGAACAGACGCGGCGCUUGUUCCUUUCUCGUUAGCGGAGCACGUGUGAGUCACACGUGGAACCUCUCCUUAUCUGUCUGAGAACAUUUCGGGACUGCGGCGAAUAUCCCGGAUAAUAUACUGCACCGUAUGGUUGGAUAGAGAAAGACGGCUUUGCUGUCUCUACUAGAUGCAUCCGCGCUGCAUUAGCUAGUUGGUAAGGUAACGGCUUAUCAAGGCAACGAGGCGUAGCCGACCUGAGAGGGUGAUCGGCCACAUGGGAGCGUAGACGCGGUCCUGACUCCUACGGGAGGCAGCAGUAGCGAAUCGGCCGCAGUGGGCGAAAGCCUUACAGAGCGACGCCGCGUGAGUGAUAGAGAUCUUCGGUGCGUAAAACUCGGUUAUGAGUUAAGAACAGAUUUGUAAGUAACUAUACACGUCUUGACGGUACCUAAUCAGAAAGCCACGGCUAACUACGUG